This 3323-nucleotide long non-coding RNA is filed under the name Sus scrofa (pig). RNAcentral's name for it is "lncRNA (ENSSSCG00015036095.1)". Lineage: Eukaryota; Metazoa; Chordata; Mammalia; Artiodactyla; Suidae. The record is from RNAcentral.
UAUGGAGGUUCCCAGGCUAGGGGUCCAAUCGGAGCUGUCGCCACCGGCCUACGCCAGAGCCACAGCAACGCGGGAUCCGAGCUGCGUCUGUGACCUACACCACAGCUCACGGCAGUGCUGGAUCCUUAACCCACUGAGCGAGGCCAGAGAUGGAACCUGCACCCUUACAGACACCACUGACCUGCUGAGCCACAGUAGGAACUCCUUUUCCCAUUUAAAGAGCAGCGGGGUGAGUAUGAUUUAUCCCAACCCCAUGGCUUCAAGUGCCAGAGGGGGCACUUGUACCCGGAGCAGUGUAACUCUGAAGUCUGAGCGGGUUUUCUGCCCUCCAGGGGACUUGAGCCCGUGACAGAGAAGGAAAUGCCAGCAGCAUGCUGGAAAGAAAUGGGCACUUGGAAUGGAGGUUUGACCUUGCUUAUGCCUGGGGUGUGAUAACUGAUUCACUCUGGAAGGCACUUCCUUCAUCAGGCCAAGCUGUGAAGCCAGGACCAGAGAGCCAAGCUGCUCAGUGGGGUCAGGGGGCCUCGGGAGCACCCUCCUCGGGGUGGGGGGAACCCAUCCAUCAUUACUGCAGCCGGGGAGGCCAGGGGUAACCUCUCACAGAGCGGGCCUGCCGCUCUGCCAAGGGCUGCCUGGCUCCCAGGGUGUGAGUGGCAUCACCCGAGUUUCCAGCACAUUCUUCCACGGCUGGGAGCCGCCUCGCUGGGCUGGGAUUCCCAGCUCUUCGCUGCUUAUCCGUUGGGCCUGCAUCUCCAUUGUCGUUGGCCACCCCUGGGGCCCAGGUGGGCACUCCAGGCCUGCACAGCCCUCCUCCACCGGGGAAGAGCUAAUGAAUGGGAUUUGGCCACAACCCACACCUGUGGCCCUGCUUUGGACACCCUCCACCUGUCCUAAGUCAUGCAGAGAAGGAGGGCGGCGACAACGGGUCCCACUUCUUGCAUAGCAGGGAGCCAUUUGCAAAGGACGGCCUCAGAUCUUUUCUCAACCGUCUCAGCAGCAUCCAUGGGAGGCAGAACGGUCUAGAAGAUGGCCAGCCAGCUGCCCACGCCUGUUCAGUCAGGCACCCGGUUCAAAUCCUGGUUUCACCCGUCACCAGAUCUCAUCAUUAACUUUACCCACGUGUCGGUGCCAACAAAAGCAUUUAAGCGCCGUCAUUCUCCUGCGAGGAGGAUCUUAAGGCUUAUGUAGCCAUACAGUAAUCUUUAUCACAUUAUCACACACUUGUGGGCACAGAAAGAAAAAUACAAGCAACAUAAAUUGUUUUCCUCUAAUGAUAGAGGCGUCGGCCUGAGUCUGUGAAUUAGGCCCGUGUGUUCCCAGAGCCCCGUCUCUCAGCCAUCAGGCUCCCUGAAGCCACUCACAAUGGGUGCCUUCCUUUCAUCUGCAGACCAGUCUCUGUGGACAGAGCCACUCUUAGCCCCAUUUCACAGAUGCAAAAUCUGAGGAUGAGGGGCGGUUAAAAUAAAAAAACCUGCCAACAAACAGGAAAAGUCUUGGCGACACAAAAGCCCUUGCUGGAAAUUUCCAUCGCGCUGCCUCUCUUCCUUGCUUCCCUGUGUGUUAAGUGAAAAGAAGACAGGCUUUGGGCAGAUUUGGAUUUGCAUAAUAUGCUUCUACUUUCUUACAAUCUGUGUAAUCUCCUAGAAUCUCAGGCCCUCAUGCACCCAUGGAGAUAAUAAUGCAAGAUACAAGGGCUUUAAAAGAAAGGACAGAAGGAAAUACUAGCAAGAUUCUCUUUCUCUUUCUCCUUCUUCCCUUCAAGGGGACCUAGGUGAAUUUUGAGGCAAAUUGAGUAUCCAUAGGCUUGGGUCUUAGAGGGGUCAAGGCCUUGGUAAACGCUAAAUCUGAACCCUCAGGCUGCCUCUCUAGGCUGCCCUCUUGGGGGUACGGUCUUGCUGGCUCUGCCUCUGGGGGGGGUGCAGUCUCACUGGCUGCCCCUCCUGUCCAGGCAGAAUGCUUCCCCUGGCUGAGCCCUUUCUGUGUGUUGGAGACUACGCCUAUGUUCCUUCGCUCCACCCCGAAAGCAGUGUGAACAAACAAGCUGAAUGGAGGCUCAGACACCCUGAUAACUCGUGCGGUCACCCCAGUUACCCAGCUGGGAGCUGGUGAAGCUGGGUUUGAGCCCAGGUCCGAGCAUGAUUCCAAGAUUUCACAGCAUCAAAGCUGCAUUCCCCAAGACUGUCAGUCGGCUGACAGCUCUCCCUGCCCCCAACACUGAAGAUAAAGCCAGCUUAUUAGAAAAAGCUCUAGCGGGAUAUACGAAUAUGUAUAUAUAAAAAUCAAACGUGGUAUCUGCAUUUGAGUCAUGAAUCUCUAUGACUUCUAAUAAUUUAGACAUUGCUCUGUUCCAUGCAACACUUUGAACUGUGAUAAAAAUUUCCUGUUCCUGUCUGCUGCACCGAGCAGCUAAGAUCCUGUUUUAUUUCAUCCUCAGGCAUAGCUUUUCAUUGCUGGAAAUCUCUUUUAAAUAUAAGCUACGUGAGGUCGGGGACUUUUGCACGUUCAUUAUUUUUUUCUAGCACAUGACACAAGGACCAGCACACAGAAGGUAAAUGAUAACUAUCUGUCAAAUGAGUUCACUCCGAAUAUGAAUUUGAAAGAUCAGCAUGUUAAUUUCAGGCUUUAUAAUAACAAUUCCUUUGUUAUUAAUUCGAUGCCAUAUAAACUACAUUCAGCUCAGGUUCACAGCUAUUCACUGAGUAUCUAUGAGUGCCAGGCGCUGUCAGGUACCAAGGGACAAUGAUGAUUGUCAUGAUAAUCAAGUUCACAUGCACCUUACCUAUGUUUGAAGAAUUAAGAGAAAAAAAAAAAAAAAAAAAAGAAGAAAAAAAAAAGAAAAGAAAAAAGGUAAACUUUUGAACGUGUGUAGCCUUUGACCGAAUAACUUCACUCAUGGGGCUGUGUUCGAAGAAGAUAAUCGGACACACACAUGCACAUGUGUGGCACAAACAGCAAAACUCAAUAGUUUAUAUCGAAUAAAAUGUGUGCCUUAAAAGAAAAGAAUUAAGAGGUACACAAAGAUUGGGUCCCCAGCGCAGAGAAGAAGUGAUUUACACAUACGAGGGGUGCAUUUGGGGGCUUAAAUCCAGUCUUAAGACUUUAAACCUGUAAUUUGUCCCCUUGGGACCCCCUCCUCCUCCCCCAGUCCCCCAGCUGCUGUCCAGGAAGCCAGAGGAGUGAGUCAUUAGCAAAGGGGACUCAUUUCCAAGGAUACUGUUUGCCGGUGAUGAGGUGUUAGCUGAGGACAUGAAGAUGGGGAGUGGGUGGUGGGUGGGUCUUAUCUCGGGGUGUUUGUUUGACCUUGGUGCUUUUUCCCUGGAAGG